GAUGAACGCUGGCGGCGUGCUUAACACAUGCAAGUCGAACGAAGCACUUUAUUUGAUUUCCUUCGGGAUUGAUUAUUUUGUGACUGAGUGGCGGACGGGUGAGUAACGCGUGGGUAACCUGCCUUGUACAGGGGGAUAACAGUUGGAAACGGCUGCUAAUACCGCAUAAGCGCACAGUAUCGCAUGAUGCAGUGUGAAAAACUCCGGUGGUAUAAGAUGGACCCGCGUUGGAUUAGCUAGUUGGUGAGGUAACGGCCCACCAAGGCGACGAUCCAUAGCCGACCUGAGAGGGUGGCCGGCCACAUUGGGACUGAGACACGGCCCAAACUCCUACGGGAGGCAGCAGUGGGGAAUAUUGCACAAUGGGCGAAAGCCUGAUGCAGCGACGCCGCGUGAGUGAAGAAGUAUUUCGGUAUGUAAAGCUCUAUCAGCAGGGAAGAUAAUGACGGUACCUGACUAAGAAGCACCGGCUAAAUACGUGCCAGCCGCCGCGGUAA
This 497-nucleotide ribosomal RNA is filed under the name uncultured bacterium. RNAcentral describes it as "partial 16S ribosomal RNA". It matches the Rfam family "Bacterial small subunit ribosomal RNA", at positions 28 to 523 of the family's 1533-position model. The record is from RNAcentral.